CCUACGGGGAGCUGCAGUGAGGAAUAUUGGUCAAUGGACGAGAGUCUGAACCAGCCAAGUAGCGUGAAGGAUGAUUGCCCUAUGGGUUGUAAACUUCUUUUAUAUGGGAAUAAAACGUUCCACGUGUGGGAUUUUGUAUGUACCAUAUGAAUAAGGAUCGGCUAACUCCGUGCCAGCAGCCGCGGUAAUACGGAGGAUCCGAGCGUUAUCCGGAUUUAUUGGGUUUAAAGGGAGCGUAGGUGGAUUGUUAAGUCAGUUGUGAAAGUUUGCGGCUCAACCGUAAAAUUGCAGUUGAAACUGGCAGUCUUGAGUACAGUAGAGGUGGGCGGAAUUCGUGGUGUAGCGGUGAAAUGCUUAGAUAUCACGAAGAACUCCGAUUGCGAAGGCAGUUCACUGGACUGCAACUGACACUGAGGCUCGAAAGUGUGGGUAUCAAACAGGAUUAGAUACCCCAGUAGUC
This 460-nucleotide ribosomal RNA is filed under the name uncultured bacterium. Its description in RNAcentral is "partial 16S ribosomal RNA". It matches the Rfam family "Bacterial small subunit ribosomal RNA", at positions 338 to 795 of the family's 1533-position model. The record is from RNAcentral.